RNAcentral lists this ribosomal RNA (881 nucleotides) under Plectania milleri. RNAcentral's name for it is "eukaryotic LSU rRNA". It matches the Rfam family "Eukaryotic large subunit ribosomal RNA", at positions 68 to 964 of the family's 3401-position model. Lineage: Eukaryota; Fungi; Ascomycota; Pezizomycetes; Pezizales; Sarcosomataceae. The record is from RNAcentral.
ACAGGGAUUGCCUCAGUAACUGCGAGUGAAGCGGCAAAAGCUCAAAUUUGAAAUCUGGUACCUUUGGGUGCCCGAGUUGUAAUUUGGAGAGGCAACUUCGGAGGAGGCGCUGGCCUAAGUUCCUUGGAACAGGACGUCACAGAGGGUGAGAAUCCCGUGCUUGGCUGGCUGUCCUCCUUCAUGUGAAGUGUCUUCGACGAGUCGAGUUGUUUGGGAAUGCAGCUCAAAAUGGGUGGUAAACUCCAUCUAAGGCUAAAUAUUGGCGAGAGACCGAUAGCGCACAAGUAGAGUGAUCGAAAGAUGAAAAGCACUUUGAAAAGAGAGUUAAAAAGUACGUGAAAUUGUUGAAAGGGAAGCGCUUGAGACCAGACUCGGUGAUUGGUGAUCAGCGGUUGCUUUUGCUCCGUGCACUUGCCUUUUACUGGGCCAGCAUCAGUUGUGACGGCGGGAUAAAGACUUAGGGAAUGUGGCUCUCUUCGGGGAGUGUUAUAGCCCUGGGUGUAAUGCCGCCUGUUACGACUGAGGACCGCGCUUCGGCUAGGAUGCUGGCAUAAUGGUCUUCAGCGACCCGUCUUGAAACACGGACCAAGGAGUCUAACAUCUAUGCGAGUGUUCGGGUGUAAAACCCCUACGCGUAAUGAAAGUGAACGGAGGUGGGAACUCUUCGGAGUGCACCAUCGACCGAUCCUGAUGUCUUCGGAUGGAUUUGAGUAGGAGCAUAGCUGUUGGGACCCGAAAGAUGGUGAACUAUGCCUGAAUAGGGUGAAGCCAGAGGAAACUCUGGUGGAGGCUCGCAGCGGUUCUGACGUGCAAAUCGAUCGUCAAAUUUGGGUAUAGGGGCGAAAGACUAAUCGAACCAUCUAGUAGCUGGUUCCUGCCGA